This 362-nucleotide ribosomal RNA is filed under the name uncultured bacterium. Its description in RNAcentral is "bacterial SSU rRNA". It matches the Rfam family "Bacterial small subunit ribosomal RNA", at positions 156 to 531 of the family's 1533-position model. The record is from RNAcentral.
CGGCCGCGUCGACCCGCAUAACAAUGGAUGACACAUGUCAUUUAUUUGAAAGGGGCAAUUGUUCCACUACAAGAUGGACCUGCGUUGUAUUAGCUAGUAGGUGAGGUAAUGGCUCACCUAGGCGACGAUACAUAGCCGACCUGAGAGGGUGAUCGGCCACACUGGGACUGAGACACGGCCCAAACUCCUACGGGAGGCAGCAGUGGGGAAUAUUGCACAAUGGGGGAAACCCUGAUGCAGCGACGCCGCGUGAGCGAAGAAGUAUUUCGGUAUGUAAAGCUCUAUCAGCAGGGAAGAUAAUGACGGUACCUGACUAAGAAGCUCCGGCUAAAUACGUGCCAGCAGCCGCGGUAAUACGUAUG